GAGUUUGAUCCUGGCUCAGGAUGAACGCUAGCUGGAGGCUUAAUACAUGCAAGUCGAGCGGGAUUGGCGCAGCAAUGCGCCAUGAGAGCGGCGCACGGGUGAGUAACGCGUACACGACCUACCUCUAACAGGGGGAUAGCCCUGGGAAACCGGGAUUAAUACCGCAUAUUAUUCUAAUUUAUAAGUGAGUUGGAAUGAAAGCUGAGGCGGUUAGAGAUGGGUGUGCGUCUGAUUAGCUAGUUGGUAGGGUAACGGCCUACCAAGGCGAUGAUCAGUAGGGGGCGUGAGAGCGUGGACCCCCACACGGGUACUGAGACACGGACCCGACUCCUACGGGAGGCAGCAGUAAGGAAUAUUGGACAAUGGCCGCAAGGCUGAUCCAGCCAUCCAGCGUGCAGGAAGAAGGCCCUAUGGGUUGUAAACUGCUUUUGUCAGGGAAUAAACCCUCGUAUUUAUACGGGGCUGAAGGUACCUGAAGAAUAAGCACCGGCUAACUCCGUGCCAGCAGCCGCGGUAAUACGGAGGGUGCGAGCGUUAUCCGGAAUUACUGGGUUUAAAGGGUGCGUAGGCGGCGCAAGUAAGUCAGGAGUGAAAGUUUGCGGCUCAACCGUAAAAUUGCUUUUGAUACUGCUGUGCUGGAAUUAGGAUGAGGUCAGCGGAAUGUGGCAUGUAGCGGUGAAAUGCAUAGAUAUGCCAUAGAACACCAAUUGCAAAGGCAGCUGGCUAGACCUGGAUUGACGCUGAGGCACGAAAGCGUGGGGAGCGAACAGGAUUAGAUACCCUGGUAGUCCACGCCCUAA
This 800-nucleotide ribosomal RNA is filed under the name uncultured bacterium. RNAcentral describes it as "bacterial SSU rRNA". It matches the Rfam family "Bacterial small subunit ribosomal RNA", at positions 9 to 805 of the family's 1533-position model. The record is from RNAcentral.